RNAcentral lists this ribosomal RNA (427 nucleotides) under uncultured bacterium. RNAcentral's name for it is "bacterial SSU rRNA". It matches the Rfam family "Bacterial small subunit ribosomal RNA", at positions 355 to 773 of the family's 1533-position model. The record is from RNAcentral.
UGGGGAAUUGUUCGCAAUGGGCGCAAGCCUGACGACGCAACGCCGCGUGGAGGACGAAGAUCUUCGGGUCGUAAACUCCUGUCGAGCGGGAAGAACGCUUCCCGGAUGAAUAAUCCGGGGAGGUGACGGUACCGCUAAAGGAAGCCCCGGCUAACGCCGUGCCAGCAGCCGCGGUAAUACGGUGGGGGCUAGCGUUGUUCGGAAUUACUGGGCGUAAAGCGCACGUAGGCGGCUUUGUAAGUUAGAGGUGAAAGCCCGGGGCUCAACUCCGGAAUUGCCUUUAAGACUGCAUCGCUAGAAUUGUGGAGAGGUAAGUGGAAUUCCGAGUGUAGAGGUGAAAUUCGUAGAUAUUCGGAAGAACACCAGUGGCGAAGGCGACUUACUGGACACAUAUUGACGCUGAGGUGCGAAAGCGUGGGGAGCAAAC